AUUGAACGCUGGUGGCAUGCUUUACACAUGCAAGUCGAACGGCAACAGGGUGCUUGCACCGCUGACGAGUGGCGAACGGGUGAGUAAUGCGUCGGAACGUGCCGAGUAGUGGGGGAUAACGCAUCGAAAGGUGUGCUAAUACCGCAUACGUACUGAGGUAGAAAGUGGGGGACCUUCGGGCCUCACGCUAUUCGAGCGGCCGACGUCUGAUUAGCUAGUUGGUGAGGUAAAGGCUCACCAAGGCGACGAUCAGUAGCGGGUCUGAGAGGAUGAUCCGCCACACUGGGACUGAGACACGGCCCAGACUCCUACGGGAGGCAGCAGUGGGGAAUUUUGGACAAUGGGCGCAAGCCUGAUCCAGCCAUGCCGCGUGUCUGAAGAAGGCCUUCGGGUUGUAAAGGACUUUUGUCCGGGAGCAAAUACCCAGUGCUAAUAACGCUGGGGGCUGAGAGUACCGGAAGAAUAAGCACCGGCUAACUACGUGCCAGCCGCCGCCGUAA
This 500-nucleotide ribosomal RNA is filed under the name uncultured bacterium. RNAcentral describes it as "partial 16S ribosomal RNA". It matches the Rfam family "Bacterial small subunit ribosomal RNA", at positions 30 to 523 of the family's 1533-position model. The record is from RNAcentral.